UAGGGAAUCUUCGGCAAUGGACGGAAGUCUGACCGAGCAACGCCGCGUGAGGGAAGAAGGUUUUCGGAUCGUAAAGCCCUGUUGUUAGAGAAGAACGUUGGUAGGAGUGGAAAAUCUACCAAGUGACGGUAACUAACCAGAAAGGGACGGCUAACUACGUGCCAGCAGCCGCGGUAAUACGUAGGUCCCGAGCGUUGUCCGGAUUUAUUGGGCGUAAAGCGAGCGCAGGCGGUUCUUUAAGUCUGAAGUUAAAGGCAGUGGCUUAACCAUUGUACGCUUUGGAAACUGGAGGACUUGAGUGCUGAAGGGGAGGGUGGAAUUCCAUGUGUGGCGGUGAAAUGCGUAGAUAUAUGGAGGAACCCCGGUGGCGAAAGCGGCUCUCUGGUCUGUAACUGACGCUGAGGCUCGAAAGCGUGGGGAGCAAACAGG
This 429-nucleotide ribosomal RNA is filed under the name Bacillota bacterium. RNAcentral's name for it is "Firmicutes bacterium partial 16S ribosomal RNA". It matches the Rfam family "Bacterial small subunit ribosomal RNA", at positions 355 to 776 of the family's 1533-position model. Lineage: Bacteria; Bacillati; Bacillota. The record is from RNAcentral.